RNAcentral lists this ribosomal RNA (116 nucleotides) under Sporosarcina sp. PTS2304. The record is from RNAcentral. Lineage: Bacteria; Bacillati; Bacillota; Bacilli; Caryophanales; Caryophanaceae.
UUCAGUGACGAUAGCGAAGAGGUCACACCCGUUCCCAUACCGAACACGGAAGUUAAGCUCUUCAGCGCCGAUGGUAGUUGGAGGUUUCCUCCUGUGAGAGUAGGACGUCGCUGAUC